Non-coding RNA from Pelobates cultripes (western spadefoot toad), 487 nucleotides. The record is from the annotation of a GenBank genome assembly. Lineage: Eukaryota; Metazoa; Chordata; Amphibia; Anura; Pelobatidae.
GUUCAUUUAACCCCUUAAGGACCAAACUUCUGGAAUAAAAGGGAAUCAUGACAUGUCACACAUGUCAUGUGUCCUUAAGGGGUUAAAGGGAAUUUCCAGUUGUUGCUCAAAAAUAGUUGAAUUAACUGAAAUCACAAUUUUUAACUCAUUUUAAAUUCUUGACAGUUCAUACUGUUGUUCUGAGUCCUUUUCUCUCACGGUAAAAGUGUGGUCUAACCUUAAUUAUAGUUCUAUUGGGUUUUCACAAACAGCCCAAUAUGAAGUGAUUGUUCACUCAUUGUAUUGUAGCAUUGUGCUUGCAUCCACUAGGUGAUUGUGGAUAUAAACCCUAGGUGAGAGUUGAGGUGGUUCUGUAUCAGGCAGACAGUGUGGUGAGGAGGUUGUGUAUCAGGCAGACAGUGUGGUGAGGUGGUUGUGUAUCAGGCAGACAGUGUGGUGAGGAGGUUGUGUAUCAGGCAGACAGUGUGGUGAGGUGGUUGUGUAUCAG